RNAcentral lists this ribosomal RNA (467 nucleotides) under uncultured bacterium. Its description in RNAcentral is "partial 16S ribosomal RNA". It matches the Rfam family "Bacterial small subunit ribosomal RNA", at positions 28 to 523 of the family's 1533-position model. The record is from RNAcentral.
GACGAACGCUGGCGGCGUGCUUAACACAUGCAAGUCGAGCGGGAAACUUCGGUUUCCAGCGGCGGACGGGUGAGUAACACGUGGGCAACCUGCCUCACAAUGAGGGAUAGCCUUCCGAAAGGAAGAUUAAUACCUCAUAAUACAAGAGAAAAGCAUGUUUCUCUUGCCAAAGAAUUUCGUUGUGAGAUGGGCCCGCGGCGCAUUAGCUUGUUGGUGAGGUAACGGCUCACCAAGGCUUCGAUGCGUAGCCGACCUGAGAGGGUGAUCGGCCACAUUGGAACUGAGACACGGUCCAGACUCCUACGGGAGGCAGCAGUGGGGAAUAUUGCACAAUGGAGGAAACUCUGAUGCAGCAACGCCGCGUGAGUGAUGAAGGUCUUCGGAUUGUAAAGCUCUGUCUUCUGGGACGAUAAUGACGGUACCAGAGGAGGAAGCCACGGCUAACUACGUGCCAGCCGCCGCCGUAA